GAGUUGCUGCAGAAUUAGAGAUUCCUGUGUGCCAGGCACUGCCAUAAGCCCUUUGUUACAUCUAGCAACUCCUUUUAAUCCUUACAACAGACCAAUAAAAUAUCUCAUUGUUACAGCUGAUGUAAAUAAUUUGCACCAGGCCAGGUCUCAAAGUUAGUUGUAGCCUUGAACCCAGGUAAUGAUGACGUCAGUAUCACUCCCCUUACUCAUGAACUGAAAGGAAAAUCAGAGGCAUCACAAGAGAUCAAAUAAUGUUAGUCACAAGUGAUGUACCUGUUAUCUUUGUGGUGCUUUAUUCUUCAAGAUAGCUGGAAAUUGAUGACCUACACCUAAUUAAACAGAAACAAAUUUCUAAGAAAAAAGCUAAGCAAGUUUCUAAGAAGUUGCCUUAAUGUGCCCUUCUGAAUGUCCAGGUUCAGGCACUGUCAGUUAUAAGUUGUUUGGAUAUUUUCUCCAAAGUGCUGAAUACGAUAUAGCAGGGCCCUGAGAGGUUAUUGACGUGCUCGAGGCUACCUUACUCAUGCAUUGAAGACCUCCAGGUACAUAUUCUAUAAACGUCGUGUUCUUUCUCUCUCUUCCCAGCUAUUUCUGUUUCUUGUGUCAAGUUGGUGUGCCUUCGCUGCUCUCGUUACAUGUUUGAAGGUGUCAGAUAGCAUAUGUCAUUGAGUGCUUUAGCUCUAGGCUAGUCUUUUUCUCUUUUCCAUUGUCCAGGUCCCCCUAUUCCUUUUAACAUUUCCCUGUGCUCCUUUGGCGCUUCCCUAGUAGUUCAGCUGGUAAAGAAUCCACCUGCAAUGCAGGAGAUCCCAGUUCGAUCCCUGGGU
RNAcentral lists this long non-coding RNA (821 nucleotides) under Capra hircus (goat). Its description in RNAcentral is "lncRNA (ENSCHIG00010000453.1)". Lineage: Eukaryota; Metazoa; Chordata; Mammalia; Artiodactyla; Bovidae. The record is from RNAcentral.